AACCAAUAUCGGGUGUGCUUACAUUUUAAGACUUUAUUACCGUACAAGACACAUUGCUGUUCAUCUCCUCAAAAUACUCCCCUCCCUCAUCUUAUCCCCUCAUUCUGCACUCUCCGAAGCAGCUCUGAAAGUCCUCUCUCACCAGUGUCUGAAGUUGUGCUCAAUGUGCCGGCUGGACUAAAACCAUUUCCCUUUUGUGGUUAUUUUGACUUUGGGGAAGGGCCAGAGUCAUACCAUAGCAGAUCUGGCCAGUGCGGUAGGCAAGGACGGACUGUCGCGUGUGAACGUGGGCCUUUCUAUCGCGUGGCACUCGGCAGCAGCACUCACUGCAAAGACACUCAGCAAAGAGGACUUCAGAGCUGUUCGGAAACUGGCAAGAACCACGGGAACUGUGGCUGCACGUGAGCAGAGCCAACAAGAAAGGCCGUGCAAGUUUGUGCGAGUUUGUACCGUCCCGGUGUGUCUGCCAGAGUGAGGCACUGUUUUCUUUCUCUGGAGAGAUGCAACGUGAGAAAAUUGUAAUUAUAACCAGGUGGGUGGCCAGUACUUCAGAGCACAAUGGAUUUUCACAGCCAGUUUGGAUCGGCAAAAUGUCUUUGUUUUGCAAACCCUCUUGGACUGAAUAAAAACUUAAAACGGAGACCAAGCACCAUUCCACAGCGGCCAGGAAGAAUGAAACUGCGACCAGCAGCCCCGGGGACUGCUCCUGGCCAGCAUAAGUGGCUGCAGUGGUUAUUUCCGCAGCAUCUCUGGGUUUUAGGUUUACUUCUUUCCUUCUGUCAAGGGCAAAGCUGCAAGCGCCCCCACGUACCUCCACACUCCUCUCCUGCCUGCAUCGGAGCAGAAGUGCUUUUGCAGGGAAGGUUUCGAGGCCAGAGGUCCUCCCAGUAGAUUUCUGGAGGUUUCUUCCUGGCCAGUGCUGAUGUAUAUCCCAUCUUUAGGCUGUAGCAGCAGCAUGGCUCACCUGGGAUGGCUGGCUUCUUGGUCCAGUUCCUGAAAGCAAAUAUUGAGACCAGAAUUGUGUGCAAAGCAUUUGUUCAGGAAGUGCUCCCAGGAGAAACAAUUAAAGGAACGGGGAAAGAAGCAGAGGGAGGGAAAGAAGCCAGGCCAGGGUGUGAGGCUGGCCAGGGCCCAGCCUCUGCCUGACGCGGAGGCGUUUGUCCCACCUCGCACACUGGCACCCGCAUAGGCAAUGCCACAACAGUCCUGCUUCCUCUGGGCAUGGGGGUGCAAAGCGGCCCGGGGACCCCUGAGCAGGCACAGCCACAAGAGCUCAGUGCGUGAAGCCCUGGGCUCAGCCCCCAGCGCUAAGGAAAAAAAAGAGAAAGAACCACAGAGCACAGAGGCUGAAGAUAACAGUGCAGAAUGGGGAAAGGGCCGAAGGUGUGCGGGGAGCCUGGCGCGUGUGCAGCGGCAGGACUUGGCCGGAGGCUCUGCAAGAAGCCCCGAGGGUGCUUUGCCCUGAUUCAGUGGGCUGUGGUCUAAUAUGUGAUUUCACUUAAGUGGGUUCCCUGGGAGCAUACAGGAAAGUGUGACAGGCAGAUCCAUUAAUGCUCCAAGAUGAGAAAAAUCUAACCUCUGAUAGGGAUGCGUGUUAUACUUGUAGGAACUCGAGAUAAGAUCUAGGCCAUCUGAAGCAGGCUUCUGUACACAUCGGGGCCAUUUCAGUCCUCACCACCCUAUAAAUCAUUUUCCCACUCACCUAUGCUGAAUCUGUUGGGAAAGUCUUAGUAAGUCUCAGAGGAUCCGCAGACUUUCUUUCCUGUUUGGCCUAUGAAGUCUAUAUCUAGUUGGAUAGCAGGGAUAUUUCAGAUCUAAUAAUGAAAACAAUUAAUAACUCCUUGGUGAUGACAGUGUAUCAGACUUUUAUUUAUUUAUUUAUUUAUUUUUUACCUCAACUUGUGAGAAUGGAUGUAACAGACUUUUAUAUGGUGGCACUUUUAUGCAUCUGUGAACAUACAUUUCUUUCUUUCUUUUUUUUUUACCGGUACCAGGGAUCGAACUCACGACCACGGGCUUGCAAGGCAGGUGCUUAUGCUGCUGAGCUAAAUCCCCAGCCCCCAGUACAUUUCUAUUUAUGUAGUCAACAGCUUUUCAUUUGGAUGAAAUUAACCGGAAUCACAGGGCAUGGUGGCACAUGCUUGUAAUCCCAGCACUUGGAGGCAGAGACAGGAGGAUCGCUGCAAGUUUGAGGCCUACAUGGGCUGCAAAGUGAAUUCAAAGCCAGCCUGCACUGCACAGCUAGACCCUAUCCAAAAAAAAAAAAAAAAAAGAAUAAUAAUAAUACUGUUGUAAAUAUCCUUCCACUAUAUGCUUAAAAUGACAUAUAUGACAGUGCUCUAGCCCACAGUGGGACGCACAGGAACAUGUCAGCAGCAUAUAAUGAGUAAUCAAACCCUUCCCCUCAUCAUUGCCCAUACUCAGGUGAGCCAGGUACUAAUCAGGUGAGCAAGGUGAGGGAGAAGACUCUUGGGCGCCACCAAGUGUCCAUCCUGGGAAAAUCUACUCUGAAUGAGUCUAAAAGCAUCAGCAGCUACCCAAGUUCUUCCUGCGUUUGAAAACUCGUCUGCUUUUGUAGCAUGAAGCUAAAAACAAGGCCAUGGCCCAAAAGUGAAUAAAAUGACUUCAGUAGCUAAGGAUAUUUUAAAAGAUUGUUUUAUCGAGGAGCUUUAGUUUUAUACCAAAGUUAAAGAGGUAAUUACCAAAUUAACUCAUAGGCAAUGAUCAAAAAAUUCACUGAAUGUUUAAAUUAAAAAUUUAAAGAUUAUGACAGCAAAGGACCCACUUGCCAUAUUCCCCCUCAAAAUACUUUUUUUGCAAACACACUCAUCCCAUUGUUCUUGCCACUUUCUGAAGCAGUUCUGAAAGUCCUGUUUCUUGAGUGUCUUUUCAUGGCUGCCUUGUGUCCUGAAUGGAGUAAAAACAUUUAUGGUGAUUUCUAUCACAUAAAAUGAUCACACUGUGUCCUCGCCCACCUUACUCAUCAGCUCUGGCACUGUGGAACUUCUGGCUCUUCCUGCAAAUCAAAAUGACCAUGAAAGGUCAGCGUUUCGAAUCAGUGCAGGCCACGGAGCAGCCACACCAGUACAACUAAAGACAAGAAAGAGAGGUUCCAGAACUGCUUUGGAACAUGGCAAGAACGAUGGGAUUCGCGUAUCUGAAAAAAGGGUAACUGUUUGAGGUGAAGGAGAGGGUUUUGUUUGUUCUUUUGGUCUUUUUUGUUUUUAUCGGUACCAGGGAUUGAACUCACGACCGCCUGCUUUCAAGGCAGGCACUUAUGCCGCUGAGCUAAACCCCCAGCCCCUAGGGAGAGGGUUUUAAGGGGAGGUUAGCAGAAAUGUAUAACACAUUUUUUGAAAAUUAACUACUCGCUGUCUUUUUCAAUCGCCCCGUGUGUACCCCUUGCCCCCCAAUGCCCACCUCCUCCAUCGUCACCACCCUCCACCACAGUGCAGCCCUCCACAACAUCACCCCCCCCCAAGUCCAACUUCACACUGAGAUUCACUCUCUGGAGUGGGAUGUAGCUCAGCGGUACAGCGCUUACCUGGCAUCGUGUGGGAAACCCUGGUUCAACCCCCAGUUCUGGAGCAGGGGGAGAAAGAAUUAAGAAGAAGGGAAAAAACCUCUUUUAGCACUGUACAGUCUGUGGACAAAUAUGCACAACAUAUGAUCACCACAAGUAUUUUCCCUACCCUAAAAAUCCUCUGUCCUCUGCCUGCUCCUUCCUCCUCCCUGCUAGGAAACACUGAUCUCCAGAGUUUUGCCUUCUCCAAACUGUCAUAUAAUUGCAAUUGUACAAUACUCAGCUUUUACAGAUUGGCUUCUUUCACUUAGAAAUAUGCCUUUAUGUUUCCUCCAUGCUUUUCAUGGCUUGAGAGUUUAUUCCCCUAGCACUCAACACUAUCUCACCUGCUGGGUGGACUGCAGCUUUUUUAUCCACUCACCUAUGGAAGGACAUCUUGGUGCCUCGUAAGCUUUGUCAAUUUAGAAUAAAGCUGUUAUAAAUACCCAGGUGUCAGUUUGUUUGUUUCUCUGUUGCAGGUUUCUUAUAUGGACAUAAGUGUUCAACUCCUUUGGAUAAAUACCGAGGAAUCCCAUUGCUCGGUUUUAUGGUAGGAGUGUGUUUGGUUUCAUAGGAGACUGCUGAACAGUCUUCCAGAAUAACGAUGCCAUUUUGCAUUCCCAGCGGCAAUGAAUGAGAGUCCCUGUUGCUUAACAUCCUUGCUGGCAUUGGGAGUUGUCACUGGAUCUUUUUUGUGUUUUGUUUUGAGAUGGGGUCUCACUAUGUUUUCUAAGCUGCUCUUGAGCUCACUAUGUAGCCUAGGCUCACCUCGAGCUUUCAGCAAUCCUCCUGCCUCAGCUUUCUAAGUGCUGGGAUUCCAGGUGUGCACCACCGCACCUGCCAAAUAGUCUGAAUCCUGGAGGUUCUAAUCGGUGUGGAGUGGGGUCUCAUUAUUAUUUAAUUAGCAUCCCUCUUAUGGCAUAGAAUGUGGACCACAUUUCCCUGUGUUUCCUUGCCAUGUCUGUCAAGAUCUUCAAGCCAUUUUUAAUCAGAUUUUUUUUUUUGUACCAGGGAUCAAACUCACAACUGCACGCUUGCCAGGCAGGCACUUACACCACUGAGCUAAAUCCCCAGAUUGUUUUCUUAUUGUUGGUUUUAAGAGCUCUUUGUAUAUUAUGAAUGAGAAUCCAUUUUGAGAUAUGUUUUUUUGCAAAUAUUUUAUUCCAGACUGUGGCUUGUCUUUCCAUUCUCUCAAGAGUGUCUUUCAUGGAGUAUAUUUUUUUAAAAAUUUAUUUUAGGGAGAAAAAAACUCCACAAAAUUUCAAAACAAGAUAAUAGGAGAGUAACAAUGAUUAAUACAUUACAUACUAUUAUCUUUAAAUUAGUUACUCAGACUUCAAGAUGCAGGCAUUUAAUUUUCAUGGAGUAGAUUUUUUUUUUUUUAAAGCCAUGUUGCCCUGAAAGAGAAAAACUGUACAAAAGAGCUUUUUUUUUUAAACUUCGUCCUUUUGAAACUGCCUGGCUCUGUAACUGCUUCAUGGCUUUGUGAUUACUUUUCUGACCCCUGUAACCCAUGAGUGAACAUGCAAGACGCCAGAUUCUACCACUGCACCAAGCUUCACAAACUGAUGAUCAUCCAUCUACUCUUGUAACCAAUGAUCUCUCACCUGCAAGCUGGUCACAAGAACUGCCAGGCUGCUGUGUCUCGCCUUUGUACCUUUUGCUCGUGCAUUAUAUAAAAGCCCUAAACCACUAGAGAUCAGGGCCUGAUACUCUGGGAAUGAUCCGGAUCCGUGCCUGAAAAUGUAAAUAAAUCUGCUUCCAAAUUCUG
Molecule: long non-coding RNA, 5333 nt
Organism: Cavia porcellus (domestic guinea pig)
Lineage: Eukaryota; Metazoa; Chordata; Mammalia; Rodentia; Caviidae
Exons: 2
Source: RefSeq, a predicted model, not a curated record